RNAcentral lists this ribosomal RNA (550 nucleotides) under Bacillus borbori. RNAcentral describes it as "bacterial SSU rRNA". It matches the Rfam family "Bacterial small subunit ribosomal RNA", at positions 68 to 600 of the family's 1533-position model. Lineage: Bacteria; Bacillati; Bacillota; Bacilli; Caryophanales; Bacillaceae. The record is from RNAcentral.
GGAUGACGAGGAGCUUGCUCCUCUGAUUCAGCGGCGGACGGGUGAGUAACACGUGGGCAACCUGCCUGUAAGACUGGGAUAACUCCGGGAAACCGGGGCUAAUACCGGAUAGGUGAUGUCUUCGCAUGAAGAGAUCAGGAAAGAUGGCUUCGGCUAUCACUUACAGAUGGGCCCGCGGCGCAUUAGCUAGUUGGUGAGGUAACGGCUCACCAAGGCGACGAUGCGUAGCCGACCUGAGAGGGUGAUCGGCCACACUGGGACUGAGACACGGCCCAGACUCCUACGGGAGGCAGCAGUAGGGAAUCUUCCGCAAUGGACGAAAGUCUGACGGAGCAACGCCGCGUGAGCGAAGAAGGUCUUCGGAUCGUAAAGCUCUGUUGUUAGGGAAGAACAAGUACCGUUCGAAUAGGGCGGUACCGUGACGGUACCUAACCAGAAAGCCACGGCUAACUACGUGCCAGCAGCCGCGGUAAUACGUAGGUGGCAAGCGUUGUCCGGAAUUAUUGGGCGUAAAGCGCGCGCAGGCGGCUUCUUAAGUCUGAUGUGAAAG